RNAcentral lists this ribosomal RNA (253 nucleotides) under uncultured bacterium. RNAcentral describes it as "partial 16S ribosomal RNA". It matches the Rfam family "Bacterial small subunit ribosomal RNA", at positions 524 to 776 of the family's 1533-position model. The record is from RNAcentral.
UACGAAGGGGGCUAGCGUUGCUCGGAAUUACUGGGCGUAAAGCGCACGUAGGCGGCUUUCUAAGUCGGGGGUGAAAUCCUGGAGCUCAACUCCAGAACUGCCUUCGAUACUGGAAAGCUCGAGUCCGGGAGAGGUGAGUGGAACUGCGAGUGUAGAGGUGAAAUUCGUAGAUAUUCGCAAGAACACCAGUGGCGAAGGCGGCUCACUGGCCCGGUACUGACGCUGAGACGCGAAGGCGUGGGGAGCGAACGGG